GUGCCAGCCGCCGCGGUAAUACGUAGGGUGCAAGCAUUAAUCGGAAUUAUUGGGCGUAAAGGGCGUGUAGGCGGAUGGGUAAGUCAGAUGUGAAAUUCCGGGGCUCAACCUCGGAGCUGCAUUUGAAACUACCUAUCUAGAGGGUUGACGGAGAAAACGGAAUUCCACGUGUAGCGGUGAAAUGCGUAGAUAUGUGGAAGAACACCAGUGGCGAAAGCGGUUUUCUAGUUAAUACCUGACGCUGAGGCGCGAGAGCAAGGGGAGCAAACAGGAUUAGAUACCCUGGUAGUCCUUGCCGUAAACGAUGUAUACUUGAUGUAGCUGGGCUCAACCCUGGCUGUGUCGGAGCUAACGCGUUAAGUAUACCGCCUGAGGAGUACGCUCGCAAGGGUGAA
This 395-nucleotide ribosomal RNA is filed under the name uncultured bacterium. RNAcentral's name for it is "bacterial SSU rRNA". It matches the Rfam family "Bacterial small subunit ribosomal RNA", at positions 505 to 898 of the family's 1533-position model. The record is from RNAcentral.